AUGAACGCUGGCGGCGUGCUUAACACAUGCAAGUCGAACGGAAAGGCUCCUGCUUACAGGGGUACUCGAGUGGCGAACGGGUGAGUAACACGUGGGUGAUCUGCCCUGCACUUCGGGAUAAGCCUGGGAAACUGGGUCUAAUACCGGAUAGGACGAUGGUUUGGAUGCCAUUGUGGAAAGUUUUUCGGUGUGGGAUGAGCUCGCGGCCUAUCAGCUUGUUGGUGGGGUAAUGGCCUACCAAGGCGUCGACGGGUAGCCGGCCUGAGAGGGUGUACGGCCACAUUGGGACUGAGAUACGGCCCAGACUCCUACGGGAGGCAGCAGUGGGGAAUAUUGCACAAUGGGCGCAAGCCUGAUGCAGCGACGCCGCGUGGGGGAUGACGGCCUUCGGGUUGUAAACUCCUUUCGCUAGGGACGAAGCGCAAGUGACGGUACCUGGAGAAGAAGCACCGGCUAACUACGUG
This 464-nucleotide ribosomal RNA is filed under the name uncultured bacterium. RNAcentral's name for it is "partial 16S ribosomal RNA". It matches the Rfam family "Bacterial small subunit ribosomal RNA", at positions 29 to 507 of the family's 1533-position model. The record is from RNAcentral.